AAAGGGAGACCUAAUUCAGGUAGGAGACGAAAAAAAGUAGUCCCUACCAAGAAUCAAUCCCAAAAGGUCGGAGCGAGGCAAAAUUGGCUUUCAAACUAGGUUCUGGGUUCACAUAAGACCUGAAUCAGGAACAAGGGCUAUUAGCUCAGGUGGUUAGAGCGCACCCCUGAUAAGGGUGAGGUCCCUGGUUCGAGUCCAGGAUGGCCCACCUGCACAGGUGACAAAAACAAAGAAAAGAAGCUCCGAAUCAGCACCUUAUUUUACCCAUAUAGUAAGAGAGAAUGCUGGCUCUGAGUUCAGAGUCCAGAGGAACCUUGAAAACUGCAUAGAGCUAGGUGAAAAAGCCAAAAAAGAAGACCGCAAG
This 364-nucleotide transfer RNA is filed under the name uncultured Microcystis sp. RNAcentral describes it as "partial 16S-23S ribosomal RNA intergenic spacer". The stretch from base 135 to 208 matches the Rfam family "tRNA". Lineage: Bacteria; Bacillati; Cyanobacteriota; Cyanophyceae; Chroococcales; Microcystaceae. The record is from RNAcentral.